This 468-nucleotide ribosomal RNA is filed under the name uncultured bacterium. RNAcentral's name for it is "partial 16S ribosomal RNA". It matches the Rfam family "Bacterial small subunit ribosomal RNA", at positions 28 to 507 of the family's 1533-position model. The record is from RNAcentral.
GACGAACGCUGGCGGCGUGCUUAACACAUGCAAGCCGAACGGAAAGGCCCUGCUUUUGUGGGGUGCUCGAGUGGCGAACGGGUGAGUAACACGUGAGUAACCUGCCCUUGACUUUGGGAUAACUUCAGGAAACUGGGGCUAAUACCGGAUAGGAGCUCCUGCUGCAUGGUGGGGGUUGGAAAGUUUCGGCGGUUGGGGAUGGACUCGCGGCUUAUCAGCUUGUUGGUGGGGUAGUGGCUUACCAAGGCUUUGACGGGUAGCCGGCCUGAGAGGGUGACCGGCCCCAUUGGGACUGAGAUACGGCCCAGACUCCUACGGGAGGCAGCAGUGGGGAAUCUUGCACGAUGGGCGGAAGCCUGAUGCAGCAACGCCGCGUGCGGGAUGACGGCCUUCGGGUUGUAAACCGCUUUCGCCUGUGACGAAGCGUGAGUGACGGUAAUGGGUAAAGAAGCACCGGCUAACUACGUG